GCCUACGGGACGCAGCAGUAGGGAAUCUUCCACAAUGGACGAAAGUCUGAUGGAGCAACGCCGCGUGAGUGAAGAAGGGUUUCGGCUCGUAAAGCUCUGUUGGUAGUGAAGAAAGAUAGAGGUAGUAACUGGCCUUUAUUUGACGGUAAUUACUUAGAAAGUCACGGCUAACUAUGUGCCAGCAGCCGCGGUAAUACGUAGGUGGCAAUCGUUGUCCGGAUUUAUUGGGCGUAAAGCGAGUACAGGCGGGUUCAA
RNAcentral lists this ribosomal RNA (255 nucleotides) under uncultured bacterium. RNAcentral's name for it is "partial 16S ribosomal RNA". It matches the Rfam family "Bacterial small subunit ribosomal RNA", at positions 337 to 584 of the family's 1533-position model. The record is from RNAcentral.